Molecule: long non-coding RNA, 1411 nt
Filed under: Pongo abelii (Sumatran orangutan)
Lineage: Eukaryota; Metazoa; Chordata; Mammalia; Primates; Hominidae
Description: lincRNA
Source: RNAcentral
UCUUAGCCUAAGCUGUACUUCACUGUAAUGAAACCUGAGAAUAACAUGCGCCUCAUGGAGCUGUCAUAAGGAAUCAGUUGAUUAAUUGAGAAUUCUACACUCCAGCAAUAGCAGAGAUAGAUAACACAAAUGACAUUUGCCCGCCCAUGGCUGCCCAUGGACCAAUUGGUAUCUGCUUCCUUCCCUCUGAGGCCCAUAGAAGCCCUGGACUCAAUCUGACUCAAGGAGAUGAUGGGACUACCAGCUGCGGAAAGGAGCUACCCACUCCAAGGUCUCUGCUGAGAGCUGAACACUCAUCAAGACACCCUGCCUGCAGGGAGGAAUUACCCAAUGCUGGUCUCCUCUGAGCUGUUCCAUUGCUCAAUAUAACUUCUCUUUGCUUUGCUCACCCUCCACUUGUCCAUCUACCUCAUUCUUCCUGGACACAGGACAAGAACUUGGGACCUGCAAAAGGGCUGUAACACAAACAGGGCUGAAACACAUCCCUUGUUCGCCAUAUUGUAGGUGACAAGGAGGAGAGAAAAGAGGAGGAGAGAAGAGCUGCAGCCCUUCUGGGAGCCCAGACCUAGGAGAUCCCUGAGCCAGGGCUAUGACACCCUCUUUGGGGCUCUAUGGUUCCUGGUGCCUCCAAGCUUCCGGAAGCCACUGCAUUCCUCAGUGCCAGCUGUGGAAGCUGCUUGUGGUACAUUUGGUCCAGCCACAGCCUUGCAGGGAGCUGGCACCCAUGCUGGUGCCUAUAGCUCCCCACCCCACCGCAGCCGGCUUGCCUGGCUGUGCACAGUGGCCAGACCUCAUGCUCACUCAUGUACCCUUCACCACUCUGCACCUGGCCUGCCCUUGGCAGGUAUGGGAUUCAGGUAUCCAGCCCCAGCCGAUUGCAGCCUGCCAGGCUGAGUGGGUGGAAUGAAACCUGUGGGCCCAAACAAAACUCAAGGAAAGGCACCACUGGCCACAUACGUUUCCAGCUGGUGAAGUGACACCCCGAGAAUCCCAUGGCAUUAUCAUACACUCUUCUUAAAAACUGAACCCGAGGGAAAAAUGAUACCCUUGAACAGUGAGGGAUAAUGAAAGUUUAUUUAAUGAUUCUUGUAUUUAUUACUACUGCUUUACUGCCCGUAGCAGGUGUUACAAUGUACCGAUUUAUUAGGCUGUAGUUAGAAAACAAUUGCUUCUUUACACAUUAUAAAUGUAACCUGGCAUUAUAUUUAAGCUAAGAACAUGCAUGUUUUUAAUACUUGAAUUUCAACUCAAGAGAAAAAAAAAUAAUGUUCAUAAUAUGUUCUAUGUUACACUAGUUUGAUGGAUUUUUUAAUUACUAAAUACUAAUAUUAAGGGUAAUUUGAGGUAAAACAAAAAAUAAAAAGUUCAUGUAGUAAUCAAAGCAUCUACUCUGGUUUGUUAAAAAUGAAAA